ACAGAAUAAACAUUUCGUGUGGACAAUGAAGACGUUUAUCUGUUUUCUUCUGCUGGUAACAGUAUCACUCGCUAGGAUAAUUAAUCGAUGCGGGCCUGUGUGUGCUAAUUUAUGCCUUUACGGUCACGAGGCUGAUGCAAAUGGUUGCCCAACGUGCACCUGUAAUCAAGCUCCUGUCAGACUGACGGAGUGCCACACCAGUGGAACGUACUGCAAGAUACUCUGUCCAAACGGAAUGGUAACAGACAAAGACGGAUGUCCGCUGUGCCAGUGUAUUCUUUAACAUUUCACGUGGUUAGCAUGCAUUUGAUGUGAUCUUGGUGUGACCUAGCUGCAUCUGAAGAAAUUCCAUACUUUUGCGAGGUGGGGUUGGGGUUUGGGGUUUGGUAUGGGGUUGUGAGAGAAAA
This is a long non-coding RNA of Gigantopelta aegis, 407 nucleotides long. RefSeq lists it as uncharacterized. The record is from RefSeq and is a predicted model, not a curated record. The transcript is spliced from 4 exons. Lineage: Eukaryota; Metazoa; Mollusca; Gastropoda; Neomphalida; Peltospiridae.